This 109-nucleotide ribosomal RNA is filed under the name Meriones unguiculatus (Mongolian gerbil). Lineage: Eukaryota; Metazoa; Chordata; Mammalia; Rodentia; Muridae. The record is from RNAcentral.
UUUAGUGUUGAUGCUGUCUAUGGUUACACUGUCCUGAUCCCGUAUGAUUUCAGAAGCUAAGUGGGGUCAGCCAUGGUUAGUAAUUGAAUGGGAGAUGACAAUGCCAAGU